RNAcentral lists this long non-coding RNA (3031 nucleotides) under Mytilus galloprovincialis (Mediterranean mussel). The record is from RNAcentral. Lineage: Eukaryota; Metazoa; Mollusca; Bivalvia; Mytilida; Mytilidae.
AAAGAAGACAUUUUUUAAAAGUUCUUACAGAAAAAAGAUAUGAAGGUAAAUAAAUUCAAAAUAAUCAAAGACCAGAUUAAGAAUUUAAACAUUGCUGUUCUUAUUGAAAUACUGCAAAUGUUUGCCAAACACUCUUGUUUUGUAUGUAGCAGUAAGGCAUUGAAUGCGUAAUAAACUUUUGACCAUCAGCCUCUGCCUCAAUAUAACUUUUCAGGUAUUUUUAAGAUGUAAAAAUUCAUUUAAAUCACCAAUUGAACCUUUUAAAGUCCAGUUUCUAAGGCACUUUGUUUUCAUUUCACUUCAAUUCAUCUUGAAAAGAAAAGCAAAGAUUAAACUAUCCACACAGUAGCUGUUGUGGAAAACACCCUGCUUUCCAAAUUAUGUGCUGUGUUUUAAUGUCCAACCAUGUUCAAAUUACUGACCAUCCUUAUAGUAGCUGUACUGCAGGUUUUUUUUUAAAUUGUAUAUUAGAUUUACAACAUAUAUCUAGAUGGGUAGGGGCAAGUAAGAGCACAUCUAAUACUGGUUUAAUCUCUUGUUCCUGUACCAACCAUGCUAACUGGACUACAUGUUGUUCCUUGUUGCCACAGCUGGUCUUUGGCUAGGCAUCAUUGAUUAAUGUGGUUUGUUGUGGUAUUCAGUAUUUUUGUUGAUUUAUAUUCUUCUCUUUACGUAUUAUGAAAAGUAAGCAAAAAAAAAAAUCCACAAGCUUAAGACACAGGCCUUUAGUUCUUGUUAAUGCCAUAAGCUUAUUAUUUAGUACAUUUUUGACUGUAAAUAGAUAUAGGAAAAUAUGGUAUGAGUGCCAAUGAGACAACUCUCCAUCCAAGUAACAAUUUAUAAAAGAAACCAUCAUAGGUCAAGGUAUGAAAAUGUUUAUUUUUUCUAUAAUAUAAGAGGGCCUUUCCAUGUCUCUUCUUUAAACAUAAGUUUAAGUUUUUGUCCUUGUUAUUUUAAAUAGCAAACUUUGCAAAUACUUGUGUUGAGCGUCCUGUUUGAUUUAUACUGUGCAAAGUUAUGGACACACAGACUAAAACUUUCCAACUAGCUUCAAUCUAAACAUUUGUGACACCAUUGUCAUAGAACUAACCUAUAAAUAUUUUCUGUUACAUCAACAUAAAAAAAGUUUUUUUUUAUAUCUAACUGGUUUUGAUCCCUGAUUUGUUACAGUUUAAAGGGAAAACUUACGCAAAUCAAUCUACAUACAAAAAGAAUUUAAUUACCCUGUUAAACUAUUUUAAUAACUACAUAAAAACAUUUUUUUUUUUACAUUUAAUGACAGAUUCACUCAAUGAUACUUAAUAUAUAAUCAAUUACAGACUUUCUAAAUAACAGUAACAAUUAAUUUGUAUUCUUGAUUAUUGUCAUCUUCAUUUUCACAUUCACCCCUCAUGUACUCCUCACUUUCUGUUUACCUAAAAAUAAAAAUAAAAUGUUAAAUUCUAAAUUAUUUUAAAUGUCUAGCAUUAUGAAUGUACUAAUAUGAAAAAUAUCAUUAGGUAUUUCAAAUUACAAAAGAAAUUACAACUAAAUAAACAUAUCAAUGUAAACUUUCAAUAAAUUGGCACUUUUAAUAUUAUUUCAUGCAAUCUUGUACAAUUUGUGUCAUCUUAUUCUUUUACUCUCACUAUACCUUAAUUUAAUCAAGAUAAAUGAUAAGCAAUUUUUUGCAAGGAAUUGAUUGAAAUUGUGACAUUAUGCAUUUGAAGCAGGCAUGAAAACAAUGGCAUUGGGCAUGAUGGACAACAAAAAAUUGAUAGGAAAAAAAAAUAUGUCUCCUUAAAAAAUAUCAUAAAAUCAUCAGACAGAUUGUGAAUAUAAACAGAAAUGAGUCAUGUAGGUCAAUGAAAUAGAAAUGGAUUGUUUACUUUCUCACAAAAUAUUUAUAUAACUUCCUUGUGAGACAGUUAACCUUACAUUACUUUGGAACAGAUUUUCUUUUCACAGAGUGUCUGCUUUGAAGUGAUAAUUUUUAUGGCUUGGAAAAAUAUCUCCAAAUUUUGAAAGAUGAAUAAUGAACUUUAUACAAUAAAUUUUUAGCAUGAUAUCAUAUGGUUGAGUAGGCAAUUCCAGAAGUAACAAAAGUGGUUAUUUUCUACAUGUAUUCUGCUAAAUACAAACUAGCCAAACGAAAGACUGCCCAAAUGAAAGGCCAACUAAGUUAUAUUCUGGACAGAAAUAAAAUAUACAUAAUUACUCACCAUAAGAUCUAUCUUUAGUCAUGUUUCUUUAUGUUGUUGACACUAAUAUAAUGAUACAAUACUACCAACAGAAAGAGUGACACUCCAAGAGCAUUGGCAAAGAUUGCUAGCUGUACAUCUGAUACCAUUUUCCUAUUUAAAAGAAAUUAUUAAUUGAAUUUUUAAAUUGGAAAAUAAUCAUGAUUUUCCAUAAUGCAAGAAUUUUCAAUAGUGCAUGAUUUAUAUAUAUCAUCUGAGUAUGACCAUGACUAUCUUUUCAGAUCAUGAUUGUGCAUAUACAUUUUGUACAAAAAUGUGCACUAAAUCUUUUAAGAAUGUGACUUCUGUCUUUUAUUUAUCUGUAAAAUACAAUUGUUAAUAAUAUUCAUCAGAAAAGGGUGAAACAAAUCUCAGAAUACAGAUAUUCAUUUUUAACAAGUUAUAAGACAUGUUAUAUAACUUGUAAGAUAAGAACAUUUGUUAAAGAGAAUAAUAUUGUGCUUUUUACUCUAACUGAAUUCAAAGUUACAUUUAAAACUGACCUUUAAAACCCUUUUUAAUGAUGCAAAAAAAAUGUUAUGGAUGUUUCUUUCAUUUGCACACUUUUAAAUAGGUCACUUAAAUACAAAAACGUAGCAAGUGUGUCACCCCAGCUGUUGCUUCUGUAUGAUAUUUUUUUCAUCAUUUGCAGGCCUAAGGGAUGUGUUUUGCAGAAGUGUGGUGUAGGCCAGUAUUCACCAUACAAAUAAAGAAUUUUCACAUAAAAUACAGAAAAACUGGAAAUUUUAAAGUAGGACAAGUUUUCAUUGUUUGUGAUGUUUCAAUUCACAGUAUUUCAUACAAGAAUAUAC